GACGAACGCUGGCGGCGUGCCUAAUACAUGCAAGUAGAACGCUGAAGGAGGAGCUUGCUCUUCUGGAUGAGUUGCGAACGGGUGAGUAACGCGUAGGUAUCCUGCCUGGUAGCGGGGGAUAACUCUUGGAAACGAUAGCUAAUACCGCAUAAGAGUAGAUGUUGCAUGACAUUUACUUAAAAGGUGCAAUUGCAUCACUACCAGAUGGACCUGCGUUGUAUUAGCUAGUUGGUGGGGUUACGGCUUACCAAGGCGACGAUACAUAGCCGACCUGAGAGGGUGAACGGCCACACUGGGACUGAGACACGGCCCAGACCCCUACGGGAGGCAACAGUAGGGAAUCUUCGGCAAUGGACGGAAGUCUGACCGAGCAACGCCGCGGGAGUGAAGAAGGUUUUCGGAGCGGAAAGCUCUGUUGUAAGAGAAGAACGAGUGUGAGAGUGGAAAGUUCACACUGUGACGGUAUCUUACCAGAAAGCGACGGCUAACUACGUG
Molecule: ribosomal RNA, 495 nt
Filed under: uncultured bacterium
Lineage: Bacteria
Description: partial 16S ribosomal RNA
Rfam family: Bacterial small subunit ribosomal RNA
Source: RNAcentral